RNAcentral lists this non-coding RNA (28 nucleotides) under Rattus norvegicus (Norway rat). The record is from RNAcentral. Lineage: Eukaryota; Metazoa; Chordata; Mammalia; Rodentia; Muridae.
UGCCUUGCGUGUAAGUGGAUCUGGGUUC